AUUAAUUAAAUCUAAACUGCAAAAAGCCACAAAACAAUAAUAAAAGAUUACUAAUUGUCAAAUAUACAAUUAGUUAUAGAUAAAUAAUACAAAGGUUUAAUGUAGGAAAACCAACACACCGAAAUUCAUCCGAACGCUACAACAAUUUAGUAGUUAUUAUGAUUAUUAUUAUUAUUAUAUAUUAACUUAAACGCAACUAUUUGUUAUAAUUUUUAUUGUAAGCUAUUUCUAAGUUAGAAGAUAAGUUGCGUAUAACGGACUGAGCAUUGCAAUAGAUUUUUAUCCUUAUUCAUUUACGAUUAUUUAACGAUUCUUUUUGUACAAAGAAGGUCAAGUGCGGGUAAAACGGCGCAUAGUUGAACGUGAUUUUCCUAUAAAAAUUAUCUACAACACAUAAAUAUUUAUAAUAGGGAAUAUUAUGACUAAUAUUCAUAAAAGAUUGUUUAAACAGUAUUUUCUAAAGAGUAAUUAUUAAACAAAUAAUCAAAUUACAAAAUCUAUUUAUUUAAAAAUCUAUACUUGAAAAUAAAAAUUUUAACGAAUCAAGAUAAUAGUCAAAUAUCUUUACUAACAAUAAUAAAAAUAAUCCAUGAAUACUAUAUUUUAAACAAUCUUUUAUAAAUAUUCAUUUUUGCAUCUGUAAAUGGUACAAGCGUCGCUAUCUGUCUCGGGGACAGAGAAACCAUCUUGGUCUCUCCCCCGGAAAAUUUAGUUAGAGUAGGGGGUCUCCAGACCCAAGCGUAGGAGGAGUCCUUGAGGAAACUCUCUUUCCAUUGGAAAAUCCUCCGAAAAUCUCUCGAGGAGGGAAAUCGAGGGAUGGGCCUAAGGUUACGAGUAUCCUCGAGUUGCAACUCAAAAUCACUUCGGUCCCGGCUCUCAGUUAGUUCGGAAGCAACAAACGCGCUUAGUCCGCAUCUAUACAUUGUUAUUUACGCGCUUAGUCCGCAUCUUCACAUUCUUACAUUACGCGCUUAGUCCGCAUCUACACAUUCUUACAUUACGCGCUUAGUCCGCAUCUUCACAAUUUUUAUUUUACGCGCUUAGUCCGCAAUUUUAUAACUUACAAAUAUUACUGCGCUCAGUCCGCAUCUUGAAUUUAUAUAAGUUGUACGCGCACCGUUCGCUCAGUUAUUUUUAUAAUAUAUACUUCUAACAUUUAAACUACGUGUCUCUUUUAUUAUUAAAAAUCCGACACCUUAUUCGUAUCAAAGAAAACUUUCAUUCCUACUUUUCCUCGAGAAAGUUCGACGAGUGCAAGAUUCACAGCCCAAGCAGCGGGUCAACAACAACAUAAAAAAUGGAGGGAAGGAAAGUAAGGAAACUUCCAAAAAAACCAGCGGACGGUCAAGAGGAAAAGAAACCUCGAGGGUCAAGUUACUUUUAACAUAAACAAUCCUCUAUCACCUCCGCCGGUGAACAUCGAGGAGAUACCUUUGCCGCCGGUCCCACAGAGUGACAAUCCUCCUUUGACGAAACCCAAAUCUCCGCCAAAAGUGGAACCAAGAAAACUGUGUAAAAGGUGCCAUAAAAAACGAAAAGAAAAGUCCAGUGAAUGUUUUAGAUUAAAUAACAAAUUUAAGAAGAAAACCUUAUUAUUAGUCGAUGAGAUCAUUGACCAGAUGAAUAAGGAUAAAGAUAUUAAGAAAAUUCCGUUAAAAGAAUAGUGAGUUUCGUUUUUUUUUAAGGAAAAUUUUAACCUCUCCCUAUUACAUCCAUAUUUUUU
Long non-coding RNA from Nasonia vitripennis (jewel wasp), 1723 nucleotides. RefSeq lists it as uncharacterized. NCBI's taxonomy places the organism in Eukaryota, Metazoa, Arthropoda, Insecta, Hymenoptera, Pteromalidae. The record is from RefSeq and is a predicted model, not a curated record. The transcript has 2 exons.